GAAUCAGCCUUUAGCACCGGCGGACGCAUACUUGAUCCAUUUAGGAGUUCAUUGACUCCUAGAUUGGUUCAAGCUCUUGUGUGUGUCCAAGAUUGGCUUCGUAAUGAAUCAACAACUUCGAUUAAAAUUGAAGAAGAUUUAGAUAAUCUUGAACAACUUGAAGCUGAAUUUAUGAAUACGGGAAGAGAGCCUUGCAUUGUCGACAUAUAGUGAUUUUCCAUUUGUUGUACAAGCUCAGAUUUUUAACUUGUCUC
Molecule: non-coding RNA, 254 nt
Organism: Nicotiana tabacum (common tobacco)
Lineage: Eukaryota; Viridiplantae; Streptophyta; Magnoliopsida; Solanales; Solanaceae
Source: RefSeq, a predicted model, not a curated record